This 79-nucleotide microRNA precursor is filed under the name Myotis brandtii (Brandt's bat). RNAcentral describes it as "mir-9229 microRNA precursor family". It matches the Rfam family "mir-9229 microRNA precursor family". Lineage: Eukaryota; Metazoa; Chordata; Mammalia; Chiroptera; Vespertilionidae. The record is from Rfam by way of RNAcentral.
GAGACACCCUUAUGGGGGGGCAGGACUUGCUUCAAUGGGGCUUUGGUACUCACUGUGUCUGCCCCUUGAGUGUGUCGCU